RNAcentral lists this transfer RNA (74 nucleotides) under Podospora comata. It matches the Rfam family "tRNA". Rfam says of the family: Transfer RNA (tRNA) molecules are approximately 80 nucleotides in length. Lineage: Eukaryota; Fungi; Ascomycota; Sordariomycetes; Sordariales; Podosporaceae. The record is from RNAcentral.
UCCUCUGUGGCGCGAUUGGCUAGCGCGUUUGACUGUUAAUCAGGAGGUUGGAAGUUCGAGCCUUCCCGGAGGAG